This 867-nucleotide ribosomal RNA is filed under the name Priestia megaterium. Its description in RNAcentral is "Bacillus megaterium partial 16S ribosomal RNA". The record is from RNAcentral. Lineage: Bacteria; Bacillati; Bacillota; Bacilli; Caryophanales; Bacillaceae.
AGUGCUUAAUGCGUUAGCUGCAGCACUAAAGGGCGGAAACCCUCUAACACUUAGCACUCAUCGUUUACGGCGUGGACUACCAGGGUAUCCAAUCCUGUUUGCUCCCCACGCUUUCGCGCCUCAGCGUCAGUUACAGACCAAAAAGCCGCCUUCGCCACUGGUGUUCCUCCACAUCUCUACGCAUUUCACCGCUACACGUGGAAUUCCGCUUUUCUCUUCUGCACUCAAGUUCCCCAGUUUCCAAUGACCCUCCACGGUUGAGCCGUGGGCUUUCACACCAGACUUAAGAAACCGCCUGCGCGCGCUUUACGCCCAAUAAUUCCGGAUAACGCUUGCCACCUACGUAUUACCGCGGCUGCUGGCACGUAGUUAGCCGUGGCUUUCUGGUUAGGUACCGUCAAGGUACGAGCAGUUACUCUCGUACUUGUUCUUCCCUAACAACAGAGUUUUACGACCCGAAAGCCUUCAUCACUCACGCGGCGUUGCUCCGUCAGACUUUCGUCCAUUGCGGAAGAUUCCCUACUGCUGCCUCCCGUAGGAGUCUGGGCCGUAUCUCAGUCCCAGUGUGGCCGAUCACCCUCUCAGGUCGGCUAUGCAUCGUUGCCUUGGUGAGCCGUUACCUCACCAACUAGCUAAUGCACCGCGGGCCCAUCUGUAAGUGAUAGCCGAAACCAUCUUUCAAUCAUCUCCCAUGAAGGAGAAGAUCCUAUCCGGUAUUAGCUUCGGUUUCCCGAAGUUAUCCCAGUCUUACAGGCAGGUUGCCCACGUGUUACUCACCCGUCCGCCGCUAACGUCAUAGAAGCAAGCUUCUAAUCAGUUCGCUCGACUUGCAUGUAUUAACACGCCGCCAGCGUUCAUCCUGAGCCA